This is a non-coding RNA of Camellia sinensis, 952 nucleotides long. Lineage: Eukaryota; Viridiplantae; Streptophyta; Magnoliopsida; Ericales; Theaceae. The record is from RefSeq and is a predicted model, not a curated record.
CAGGGAGAUGUGUGUGUGAGAGAGAGAAGAGAUAGAGGGUAGACAGACGGAGAGAAGAGCAGUCCUUUGGAGCAACAACCAUUGCUUCGCUCGUGACAGCCAUUGCGUCGCUCGAGCAGUCCUUCGGAGUUACCUCCUUCGCAGCCCGGUUCGUUUUCGCUUCUCCCUCCUGUCGACGAAGACCCGCGAACGAAGCAAACGGAGUCGUCUCACCUCUCCCUCCGACCGGAGCUCUCACACCUCUCCUUCCCACCGUCCAAUUUCAGUCAUUUCACCUUUUCUAGACGUUAUACUCAAUGCCGAGUUCUCUAUGCUUGUGAUUGGUCUAGACGUUAUACUCAACACAGAUAUUGAAAUUAUCUUCUGGAGCAGGAACUGGUGCCUUCAACUCAUGACAUUCCCUAUGAGUUUGUUGCUGAAGAAAAUUCUAUUCCACUUCAGAGACUCAGUUAUUGUAGGCACUGCAAGGCAUAUGUAAAGGGGUUCGACCAUCAUUGUCCUACUUUUGGAAACUAUAUAGGUCAAAAAAACCAUGUCCUCUUCAUAAUCCUCCUUUUUGGGUUUGUUUUUACUAAGGCUUCGUAUGUAGAAUGCUCAUCUCAAUGAUUCACAUUUUGUCGUAUAUCACUUGAAUAUAAAAAGGCAUCCUCAAGUUGGAUAAGCCUCUAGGAAAUUGGCUCAAGUUUGCUGUCUGAAUACUCGAAGUUAUGCCUAUUUAUGAUUGGAGAUGAACGAAUUUGGUAACCUGCAUAGCAAGAGUUUUUGUUGACAUUACCAAACAUGUAUUUUAACUAUGUUGUUGUGGGUUAUGAUUAUAUUGUGAUGGAUCUUAUUUUUUUGUUGAUAUUUUAUUGAAUAGAUUAAAAUGAACAGGUUUUUGUUGAUGUUACCAAAUGAACUGGUUUUUGUAAUGAUUUGUAAUGGAUAUUAUAUUCAGCAGGUUAUUAAAAUG